RNAcentral lists this non-coding RNA (30 nucleotides) under Drosophila melanogaster (fruit fly). RNAcentral also lists the same sequence under 9 other names. The record is from RNAcentral. Lineage: Eukaryota; Metazoa; Arthropoda; Insecta; Diptera; Drosophilidae.
GGCUAGCUCAGUCGGUAGAGCAUGAGACUC